Bombus terrestris (buff-tailed bumblebee) is the source of this 429-nucleotide long non-coding RNA. RefSeq lists it as uncharacterized. NCBI's taxonomy places the organism in Eukaryota, Metazoa, Arthropoda, Insecta, Hymenoptera, Apidae. The transcript is spliced from 2 exons. The record is from RefSeq and is a predicted model, not a curated record.
AGUUACAAAAUAGCUCUGCAAAAUAUUAGUGAAAUUAGUACAAAAUAAUAAUCAAAACCUCAUUAUAAAUAAUAAUAAAAAAUUAUCGUGCAAAUAAAUCUAUCGAGUGAUCCGCUACUUUCGUGAGCCACUGUAUGUAUGAUAGAAUACACAAGCACAAACGAUACGCACGGCUACAUAUACGUCUAUACGUACACCCACGUACGUAUUUGCUACACCUAUUGGCCAUAAAAAGUACUCACUUGAAUGAAUUGUAUCGUGAUCGCAGAUUUUCCGACGCCACCCGCGCCAACGACGACGAGCUUGUAUGUCUGCGCAUAGCUUUGUUUGUCACCGAGCUUCGACAUUUUUCAUAUGAUCGACGAGUUGUGGAAAUUUCAGAGGAAUACUGGACACAUAUUGAAAACAGCACGGCGAAACGUAGAAAAA